This is a long non-coding RNA of Mus musculus (house mouse), 3372 nucleotides long. RefSeq annotates it as predicted gene, 30339. NCBI's taxonomy places the organism in Eukaryota, Metazoa, Chordata, Mammalia, Rodentia, Muridae. The transcript has 4 exons. The record is from RefSeq and is a predicted model, not a curated record.
UGGGGAGUUCACGGUGAGCCCCUUGGGGAAGAUGCGUGGGCCAGAUGUGGUGUUCUCUCUCACAGCCUCCCUGAACUCCAGCGCAGAGCCCUCCCCAUUUCUGAUGCUUGUUAGAGAAAUCCCACAUCAGCUGCUCAGCCUGAGAGCGUGUUGGGUGGCAGGGAGGACGUCCUGUGCCUUUUGUAUUCCGAUGCCUGGCGAGUAUUUCUUGGAGAAGUCAAAUCCCACACAGUAAGAGACAGUUAUGAUUUCAUCUGGAACGUCUGGUUCUGCAGCGUGAAUGUACGAGGGAUCUCUGCAGUGUCUGGAAAGUCUCCAGGGACCCGCUUGGAUGCUGUCUGAAUGUUGGUGCAGGAGAAGGAAGGGCAUGCGGUCUAGACAUCAAGAGUGCGAAGGUAGUAGAACCACCUCAAGUUCCUGGGAACCACUAAGGAUUAUAGCCAGGAGCCCAGAAUCAAAUUAAAUCAUGGAAACCGGAUCCAGCUUGCCCAAGGGUUUGGCAAAAAAAAGGUCAGUGUCUGCUUCUGGAUACUCCCUGCUUUUCCUAUGCCUACUUUAGGGGAAGCACCGAGUUCAGCCCUGGAUCCGUAUCCAAGUGGCUUGGUUCUGUGCCCUGGCUGGUACAGGAGGAUCCAGGCCCUCCGGUCCCCUGCUUCCUUGAGUUCCCUGUUUGCCCCGUGCAGCUUGCCCUGUGAGUCAGGGUGCAAACGCUUGGAUUGCUGUCUGCUCCGAGGGACAGGGUGAGUCUUGUCUAAUGAGGAAGAAGCUGGCGAAUCUGGCUGCUGUUUUGCAAUCUUUUGGGACACGCUUGCAACAGAGGAUUUCACGAUGAGUAGAUUUUGGUCUUUCUAAAAGGAAAAUGCAUCCAUGGAUGUAUUUGUCUCCUGGCUGUGGUUUCUGAAGUCAUAUUAAAUUACACUGAAAGCGCUCUUCUCAUUGUCACCGCUCUUUGACUAUUUAGUUGGAUAUUUAAAAAGAUGAUAAGUGGGUGAAGGCCGAAUGAAUGGCUAUCCCUGCCUUGGGGGAGAUGUUCUCACGGGGGAGGAAAUGACUGCUGGGCAAAGCAGGGCGGUCAUUUCUAGGCAGCUGGAUGGAUAGAAUUCUCUCUCCUGCUGUUCUACUGUCUCCAAGUGUAGCAUUAGCUUUGCCAAAGGAAUGAUUUUUUUUAAUCUCUUGCAAACAAUUCCAUGGCUUUAUUUUAACCGUGAGCCUCAGGAAACCAGGGCCCCAUACGAUGCUCUCUUGGCAUUGAGUUGUGUCUGAGGGCCUCUAAGGCUGGGUCUGGGGUGGCUUGGCAAAACGGUGACGACAGACAGCAGGGCAGGAGCCCUGAAGGACCAAACCACUAGGGAUUCUUCUUUGAGAAUCUUAAGACUAGAAUUUGCAUGGAUCUAGACCAUCAGUCAAUGUAACUCUUUGUUUGAAAGCCUUGCUACUGUUAGCAAAGGAAACAUUUUAAGUAGUGAUGUACUUCAUUUUCUUUUGUUCUCUUAUUUGAAUAGUUUUGUUUCUCUUUGUUGCAGAUUUUUCCUAUCAUCUGUCUGUCUCUAUCAUCUAUCUAUCUGUCUAUCUAUCUAUCUAUCUAUCUAUCUAUCUAUCUAUCUAUCUAUCAUCUUUCUAUCUCAUCUAUCAUUUUCUCUAUCAGCCUACUUCCUUAAUUAUUUAGAUGCAUCUUAUCAUUUAGUUUUGGAGAUUUCAGUGUGGGGGGUGGGUGGCAUUCCGAGCAUACUGCUGAGAAGUUUGAGUAGGUAGCAAAAGUAGGGUUCAGGAAAGGACAGAACAGGCCUGUCGCUAGUUAGGACACUCAGAUUGUCCACAGGAAGCACACUUGCUGGAAAGGAGUGGUCACUUUUGCUGUCUUUUGUGAUGGACAGGGGACAAAUUAAAAUCAAGAGAAGUGGAUGAGGUCAUUUCCCCCUUGCUUGGCUCAAGAUUUCCCUCCAUUCUCAUUGCUGGGAUGUUUCCCCUUGGCUUAUGGCCUUGUUAAUAUCCCUUAGCUGUCUUAUCAAGUUUUUACACCUCUGUGUGAAUUAGUUUAUUGGCCCCUUUUCUUAGAGUCUGGAGAAUGGUAGGGAGAGGAUAGAAAAUAGAGGAAGAGAAAAGAAAGGCAAGCCACUGGGUGUGCUUCAGGUCUACUUUCUGCUUUAAACCUCCUAGCCUGGUACUGCCUGUGGGCUCUGCCUCGGGGCUGCCAGGAGCAAGGCUGCCUGAAUCCUUCAGCAGUUCUCCAAACAGAACCUUCUCUUCCUUAGUAAGAUAUGACAUCUGUUUUAAAUUAGGUCAGUCUUGCAGAUAACCGCGAGACCCGCACCUUCUUUGGAAUAUGUGUGGAAGCCAUAAUGAAAAUGAGGAGAGUAAAUUAUUUCUUGCAUCUUUUAACACAUACUCAAUAUGAUCUUGGUAAAUUCUUCAUCAGGGUCUCUGUGACACCUAAAACAAGAUGGCAUCCAAGCGUCCCUCCUUGUGUGCCCGUCUGUGGUUCAUCAAUGCCUGCAUUUGUCCAUUGAUCAUCACAUCUCUAGGGGUCUGAGAGAAUUUACAAGUCACACUACUGACACAUUACACUGAAAAAUUCCACUUUGAGGGAAGAUACAGAAAAAGAUCUGCUUUUCAUCCAGUAAGUACCCCAACACUUUGAUUGACGGACGAGGUAUCAACUCAACGAGAAAAUUAUGGUUGAUAGAGAUCAUCUCAGGCCCCUGAGUUCCUGCCCCAGGCAUUUUCUAUUACGAUUAGAUUAUGUUUUAUUGAAAUGAGAAUUUGAGAAAGAUAACAUGAGAGCCGUAUUUAAAUCGUAAAUUUCAAUGGGAAAACAUUUACUGAAAACAAGUUCUCUUCUGCGUCUCAUGUGGAGAAGGAUCGUUAUUUAUGUAAUUUCUUCCAUCCUUACAGGACUGCUGCUGCCCCUCAGGAUUCAUUAAACAAGUAAUACAGCCAGUUGUUGAACCUCUGUACAGAAAGUAGAUUACUAUUUGUCUUCUUUGCAGGGACUGCAAAAAUGUACACAUUUCUCCCUUUUUAGUAUUUUUAUAAACAUUAUCUCUUUUUAAAAGAGAGGCUUUUAAAAUUAUACUAGCUUAUUUUAUUGUUUAGACUUACAACAAGCUAAACUUAUAACUAUUUGUCUCUAUCUCUUUGUUUUUCUAUUCCCACACAUAUUUUUGAGAUAGGGUCUCACUAUGUGGCUCUGGCUGGCCUGGAACUCUCUAUGUAGAGCAGUCUGGCCUCAAACUCACGGAGCUCCACCUGCCUCUGCUUCCUGAGCCCAGGGAUUCUCAGGUAUGCACUCCAAUACUCGGCCCGUAUUUUCUUUCAUAUUUUGUAAAAAUGAACUUUAGCCAAAAGAAAAAAAAAAAAAAAAAAAAAAAAAGA